GACGAACGCUGGCGGCGUGCUUAACACAUGCAAGUCGAACGGAAAGGCCCUGCUUUUGUGGGGUGCUCGAGUGGCGAGCGGGUGAGUAACACGUGAGUAACCUGCCCUUGACUUUGGGAUAACUUCAGGAAACUGGGGCUAAUACCGGAUAGGAGCUCCUGCUGCAUGGUGGGGGUUGGAAAGUUUCGGCGGUUGGGGAUGGACUCGCGGCUUAUCAGCUUGUUGGUGGGGUAGUGGCUUACCAAGGCUUUGACGGGUAGCCGGCCUGAGAGGGUGACCGGCCACAUUGGGACUGAGAUACGGCCCAGACUCCUACGGGAGGCAGCAGUGGGGAAUAUUGCACAAUGGGCGGAAGCCUGAUGCAGCAACGCCGCGUGCGGGAUGGCGGCCUUCGGGUUGUAAACCGCUUUCGCCUGUGACGAAGCGUGAGUGACGGUAAUGGGUAAAGAAGCACCGGCUAACUACGUG
Molecule: ribosomal RNA, 468 nt
Filed under: uncultured bacterium
Lineage: Bacteria
Description: partial 16S ribosomal RNA
Rfam family: Bacterial small subunit ribosomal RNA
Source: RNAcentral